RNAcentral lists this ribosomal RNA (227 nucleotides) under uncultured bacterium. RNAcentral describes it as "partial 16S ribosomal RNA". It matches the Rfam family "Bacterial small subunit ribosomal RNA", at positions 15 to 231 of the family's 1533-position model. The record is from RNAcentral.
GAUCAUGGCUCAGGAUGAACGCUAGCUACAGGCUUAACACAUGAAAGUCGAGGGGCAGCAUGGUCUUAGCUUGCUAAGGCUGAUGGCGACCGGCGCACGGGUGAGUAACACGUAUCCAACCUGCCGUCUACUCUUGGCCAGCCUUCUGAAAGGAAGAUUAAUCCAGGAUGGGAUCAUGAGUUCACAUGUCCACAUGAUUAAAGGUAUUUUCCGGUAGACGAUGGGGA